Pogona vitticeps (central bearded dragon) is the source of this 1697-nucleotide long non-coding RNA. The record is from Ensembl. NCBI's taxonomy places the organism in Eukaryota, Metazoa, Chordata, Lepidosauria, Squamata, Agamidae.
GGGGGCCCUCAAAACCCAACAUGUUCUUAAAAGAUUUGUUGCAUUCCUUUUCUCAUAGAGUAACUCAGUUCUUCUAAACUACUUCGUUCAGAGGUUUUGGAACAGCUCCUCUCACCAGAUGUGGGGCAGCGCCUUCCCCCAAGUGGCCACAAUCCCCCCCCCCCGACACACAAGUCCCCGUCUCUGAAAGGACACCGAAACCCCUCGAGCCACAAACCUAUGCGUUAGAAAAAGGAAACACACUCGGCAGGAUGAUGUCGACGACCGAGUCUGCUAAGGAGCCACGUUGGCUGCCCCCCUCCUCCCGAACUCCUUCGAGGAGCCUCAAGAAAGGGGGGAAACCCCUUUAAAUAUCGGAUGACACCGCAAACCGGUGGGUGGGCGGGCGAGCCACCUUUAUUGCAAGAACUCCUAUGGGGACGUCUAGCCUUGUAAUUACGGGGCAGUAAAACCCACAGGGUCUUGCGGCAGCUCAAGGGCUAACACAAGUCUCCUCCUCGUCGUCGUCGUCCCCCGCCCCUCUCCUCGGAGCUUAGCCGUGCCCACCCUUGCUGCUACCCUCGGGACAGGCCCCACUCAGAGAACUGGGCACCCUUUUCUACUCCCGCAAAACAUGUACCAGCACUACCGCCAAAAAGCCGGAAAGCCUCCACGCCGUCCAAGCCCGGCCCCCAAGGUCUGAAACCGGCUCCCCUCAUUCCGCGGCCACAAGAGGAGGGAGGGAGGGGAAAGCCCAUGCACAGUUUAUGCGCGGACCUGGGAGCGUCUGUACUGUCGUGACGUUCGCCUUCGGAGAGUCCUCCUACGCCGAUUGGCCGUGCUCUGGAGCCACGUGACGGCGCGGCGGGGAAACGGGCUUGGAGCGAGAUCCCCUGGCUAAGGUAGGACGGCGGGGAAAUAGGAGAGAGUUAUAACUGCGCAUGUGCGGUCGGCGUUGGAGGAGGAAGCGGCGUGAGAGGAGGACCCGGGUCGGCUUGGCAGUUGUGGUGCUUUUACAGGGCAGUGGGAACUGGUGCAGGAGGAAGAAGAAGGAGGUGGGCUCCAGUUUGUCUUUCUUCACAAAAUUAGAUUUGAACUAUGAGGAUUAACCAAAACACAGUACUACAGGGGAAGAGGGUUACCCUGGUACCAUAUACUGCUGCACAUGUACCCAGGUAUUAAACAGAUAAUUUCCUCCACCUUCAUGAAGGGAUAUAGUUUGAGAGCUCUGGUUUGACAUGGUCUUUGUUUUAAUAAUCCUAGGAAAUGAAAUAUUUGCAAUAUUAAAAGGUUUAUCAAGUUCCAUUUGAACUAGAGGACAUAGGGAUAGAUUGUUUAUAACAUACCUGUUUAAGUUUUCCAUGGAGGCUGUUUGAUAUUAUCCAGUCAGACUUUGCAUUAUAGCCCCUAAGUGUCUGUACUACAUCUCGUAUCAGUGUCAGAACCACUCAACUUUAGUUCACUGACAAGCACUGCAAUGCUUAUACAUUCCAUUUCUUGCUUUACAGUUUCCAGUUUACCUUGAUUCAAACUUGUCCUUUUUCAAUGUUCCAAUUGUAUGCCUUAUGCAGCAUUGGAGUUUCCUUUCACUUUUGUGCAUUUCAGCCACUAGAUAUCUUUUCAGUUUUAAUCUAGUUACAUCAUUAAUGACAGAGCUAUUAGUACUUGUCAUUUGCUCAUCCUAAGUAGCUGAUUGAGUACGUUCCAACCUGGGAGUC